AUUGAACGCUGGCGGCAUGCCUUACACAUGCAAGUCGAACGGUAACAGGUCUUCGGAUGCUGACGAGUGGCGAACGGGUGAGUAAUACAUCGGAACGUGCCUAGUAGUGGGGGAUAACUACUCGAAAGAGUGGCUAAUACCGCAUGAGAUCUACGGAUGAAAGCAGGGGAUCGCAAGACCCUGUGUUACUAGAGCGGCCGAUGGCAGAUUAGGUAGUUGGUGGGAUAAAAGCUUACCAAGCCGACGAUCUGUAGCUGGUCUGAGAGGACGAUCAGCCACACUGGGACUGAGAAACGGCCCAGACUCCUACGGGAGGCAGCAGUGGGGAAUUUUGGACAACGGGCGCAAGCCUGAUCCAGCAAUGCCGCGUGCAGGAUGAAGGCCUUCGGGUUGUAAACUGCUUUUGUACGGAACGAAAAGCCCCGGGUUAAUACCCUGGGGUCAUGACGGUACCGUAAGAAUAAGCACCGGCUAACUACGUGCCAGCAGCCGCCGCAG
RNAcentral lists this ribosomal RNA (498 nucleotides) under uncultured bacterium. Its description in RNAcentral is "partial 16S ribosomal RNA". It matches the Rfam family "Bacterial small subunit ribosomal RNA", at positions 30 to 523 of the family's 1533-position model. The record is from RNAcentral.